Molecule: long non-coding RNA, 645 nt
Organism: Lotus japonicus
Lineage: Eukaryota; Viridiplantae; Streptophyta; Magnoliopsida; Fabales; Fabaceae
Exons: 2
Source: RefSeq, a predicted model, not a curated record
UGGGUGAUGAAAAAUGAAGAGAAAAAAUAUUUUUAUGAAAUGACAUUUUUAACCAAUAUUAUAUAUAAUAAAUAACCUGAAAUGCCAAAAAAAUGUCAAAAUAAGCAAAGCAUUUUUUUUUUUGAAAUGAAAAAUAAGCAAAGCAUAAUCCAACCCGUAUUCCAUUCUUUUAUUUUAUUUUUGGAGAAAGUGGUCUUUUUUUUUGAAAGUGGUCGUAAAUAUAAUGGGCUAGUCUGAAAAUUGAAUUCCGACCCAAGAUCCAAUUCACUCUUCGAUUACAUGAAACCCUAAUCUUCAUCUAUAAAUUGUGACCAGCUUCUUCCUCAUUCUCUACGCAACUGUUUAGCGGGGUUUGGUUUAGAGGGAAAAGCGAGGUGACGAUAUCACUUCAAUGGUAUGUCAAUUCACUGAUACUAUCGUGAUGUAUUCAUGAAUCCCGACAGGUUCUGAUCGCUACUUCAUUCCCUCUUUGGUCUUUUGUUUUAGCUCAAACAUUUUUAGCGUACAUUGUUUUUUGUCUUUAGAAAUUGAACACAUAAUGGGCAUGUGAUGAAUCUCAUUUUAACUAAUGGGUAAUUUGCGUCUGAAAUUCAUUGAUGCUUUAUUCACCUUGGAGAACUGAUGCCUUUAUGGUUCAUAUUUUUU